Molecule: long non-coding RNA, 617 nt
Filed under: Gallus gallus (chicken)
Lineage: Eukaryota; Metazoa; Chordata; Aves; Galliformes; Phasianidae
Source: RNAcentral
CGGACUUUCUUCUUCUGCUGCUUUCGAGUCUGGAUGAUUUUUAGAAUGGCAUCUUCUUCAUAGGAAUGUCCACAGACUUUGUUUCGAACUGGCUUCUUCAUUUCCACCUGUGUAAUGGGACAAAUGAAGUUCAUCUGACUCUGAGUCACAGCUAUAUCUUCAUCGAUUUGUUCGAUGUCGUCAUUAUCAUUACUAUCUGAUUGAAGACGAAAUUGUUUUUUCAUGUCUUUAAGUUGAUCCUUAAAAUACAUAUAUUUCUCAUUUUUUUCCAAAUCCGAGUCACUGUUCAUGCUCUCCAAUGCAGUAAAUUUUUCUUUUACUAGUGAUUUUAGAUCUGGUAUCUUUUCUGGUUUGUCUUGUUUUAUCUGAUCUACCGUUUCUUCAAUUGCUCUCAUGUAAUGAUUAAGCUCUCUGUCCAAUGCAGCAUACUCUAACAUGACAUUCUCCAUACUUCUAACAUCCUCUUCAUCAUUGAAAUUUUCCACCAGGUCAAGGGCAACGUGAGUAGCAAUAUCCAUUCCAGUAUUUAUGUAAGACUGGCAGUUUUUCAGAGAUGAAAGAGAGGAAUUCACAGAGCUGAAUGAGAUUCUUGUACCCCUCUGCAUCUUGGAAUUGUU